UACGUAGGGACCAAGCGUUGUUCGGAUUUACUGGGCGUAAAGAGCGCGCAGGCGGUCGUUCAAGUCGAGUGUGAAAGCCCCCGGCUCAACUGGGGAGGGUCAUUCGAUACUGAUCGACUCGAAGGCAGGAGAGGGUAGUGGAAUUCCCGGUGUAGUGGUGAAAUGCGUAGAUAUCGGGAGGAACACCAGUGGCGAAGGCGACUACCUGGCCUGUUCUUGACGCUGAGGCGCGAAAGCUAGGGGAGCAAACGGG
Molecule: ribosomal RNA, 253 nt
Filed under: uncultured bacterium
Lineage: Bacteria
Description: partial 16S ribosomal RNA
Rfam family: Bacterial small subunit ribosomal RNA
Source: RNAcentral